AGCCUUCUGAAAGGAAGAUUAAUACAAGAUGGCAUCAUGAGUCCGCAUGUUCACAUGAUUAAAGGUAUUCCGGUAGACGAUGGGGAUGCGUUCCAUUAGAUAGUAGGCGGGGUAACGGCCCACCUAGUCUUCGAUGGAUAGGGGUUCUGAGAGGAAGGUCCCCCACAUUGGAACUGAGACACGGUCCAAACUCCUACGGGAGGCAGCAGUGAGGAAUAUUGGUCAAUGGGCGCAGGCCUGAACCAGCCAAGUAGCGUGAAGGAUGACUGCCCUAUGGGUUGUAAACUUCUUUUAUAAAGGAAUAAAGUCGGGUAUGGAUACCCGUUUGCAUGUACUUUAUGAAUAAGGAUCGGCUAACUCCGUGCCAGCAGCCGCGGUAAUACGGAGGAUCCGAGCGUUAUCCGGAUUUAUUGGGUUUAAAGGGAGCGUAGAUGGAUGUUUAAGUCAGUUGUGAAAGUUUGCGGCUCAACCGUAAAAUUGCAGUUGAUACUGGAUAUCUUGAGUGCAGUUGAGGCAGGCGGAAUUCGUGGUGUAGCGGUGAAAUGCUUAGAUAUCACGAAGAACUCCGAUUGCGAAGGCAGCCUGCUAAGCUGCAACUGACAUUGAGGCUCGAAAGU
RNAcentral lists this ribosomal RNA (617 nucleotides) under uncultured Bacteroidales bacterium. RNAcentral's name for it is "bacterial SSU rRNA". It matches the Rfam family "Bacterial small subunit ribosomal RNA", at positions 145 to 760 of the family's 1533-position model. The record is from RNAcentral. Lineage: Bacteria; Pseudomonadati; Bacteroidota; Bacteroidia; Bacteroidales.